This 522-nucleotide ribosomal RNA is filed under the name uncultured bacterium. RNAcentral describes it as "bacterial SSU rRNA". It matches the Rfam family "Bacterial small subunit ribosomal RNA", at positions 25 to 518 of the family's 1533-position model. The record is from RNAcentral.
CAGGACGAACGCUGGCGGCGUGCCUAAUACAUGCAAGUCGAACGGUCUUUCUAUGGAAGCCUGCUUCCACUGAGAAGAUAGUGGCGAACGGGUGAGUAACACGUGGGUAACCUGCCCAUAAGAGGGGGGAUAACAUCCGGAAACGGGUGCUAAUACCGCAUAGUUUUCUUGAUCGCAUGAUCGGGAAAGGAAAGACGGCCUUUGUGCUGUCGCUUAUGGAUGGACCCGCGGCGUAUUAGUUAGUUGGUGAGGUAACGGCUCACCAAGACGAUGAUACGUAGCCGACCUGAGAGGGUGAUCGGCCACAUUGGGACUGAGACACGGCCCAAACUCCUACGGGAGGCAGCAGUAGGGAAUCUUCCGCAAUGGACGAAAGUCUGACGGAGCAACGCCGCGUGAGUGAAGAAAAGGUUUUCGGAUCGUAAAACUCUGUUGUCAGAGAAGAACAAGUUGGAGAGUAACUGCUCCAGCCUUGACGGUAUCUGACCAGAAAGCCACGGCUAACUACGUGCCAGCCGCCGC